This 1759-nucleotide long non-coding RNA is filed under the name Salmo trutta (river trout). Its description in RNAcentral is "lncRNA (ENSSTUG00000040633.1)". The record is from RNAcentral. Lineage: Eukaryota; Metazoa; Chordata; Actinopteri; Salmoniformes; Salmonidae.
UGGAGGUUAUUAAAAAAAAAAUGUUUAAGGUUCUGAGAAAUGGUGUCGGGUCCAAAACCAGACCAGAUGUUAGUUCUGAUCUGGAUGGGUUUGUCUGUAACUAGACUAGACUACACUGGAUAUGACCGGAUCAGGAAGAUUGGGUUUGUUCAUAGUCCUCGCCUCAGGCAAGAACUGUUCCCUUCCUCAAAGCCAUUCGGAUGGUUUGAGUUUAUUUGCAAGCAUAGAAAACUGCCUCGUUUCUCAUUAUGCCAGUCUUUCGCCGGUAUCAAACUUGAAGAGAGGCUUUGGUUUCAUUUGUCUCCAGACCAGAGCUGCAUCAACACACCACUGCCCAAAGAAACCAACCCCAGAUCCACUACAGACAUGAUCAUCAGACUGGGCAGGCUGACCCCUGGAUACUUCCGCCUCCUACAGAGACAGGUGGCCGGUGAGGUGCAGACCCAGCCACAGGACCGCGCGGUCAACCAGAUAGCCAUGAUGCUGGCCAUCAUGGGCCUGAGCCUGUCCUACUACAGUGCCAAACGGAUGACCGAGAAGGUCCAGAGGCUCCAGAAGAGAAGAGAUCCCCAUACACCCUGAAGAGACCCCUCCCCCCAGUGCGCCGGUCCGCUUUGAACCUGGAGAAGACGAACCAACGCGGAAAUGAGGAGAGGAGAGUUGUCGGUGUCCAGAACAACACCUUUUCACAACCAAUCAGUCAUAGUCACGUUGUUCAGACACUGGAGUUUUACUGGGAUCACUCUCAAUGUGAGGAGAGUUCGGGGUCUGCUGUUGUUAAGGGUAUCUUAAUUUUUCACCCCAAUGGAUGUUGGGAGGACCUUGUGGGGGAGUGUGUAUGUGGGGAAAGGCCGACGGUGGGGUUCGUGUGGUCCUGAUAAAGUUUGGGGGGUAAAAAGUACAACCAUCUGUCUAUGGUCAGGCUGGGCCCGUGCUUCAGUCGUUGCAAAGGUACAUGCGUGCAGGAUGCCGUCAAUACUGUUCUGAGCUAAAAAGGAUAAAGAAAUGCUAAACUAAUUAUUCUAAUGUACUGUGAAUCUCUUGUCAGUGCUCCAAGUAUAUGACAGUUUGUCUAAAAUAACUGAACAGUAAUUAUUUUUUUAAGGGAACGCUUUCUGCAUUUGAGAUGUAUCUAGUAAUGACUGAAGGUGGGCCCGUAGUGUGGCUGAAAGUGGGGAGAAAGAAAACCUCUUAGGUUUUUGUAAUUCCUUUAUUGUUAAAAAAAAUUAAAGUGAGCCAUGUGAACUAGAUGUGGAGGAGUCUCAAACUGGUCAAUAAUUCCACAUGUUCAAUAUCUGUUAAUGUCAGACACAAACAACCGUACAUUACUGGUGAAAUGCAGUAUUUUAACGUUUUGGGAACUUGCUUAUCCAAAUCUACGAAAAAAAGGCACGUAAAUCACAGUCUUGAUAAAAAUGGGUGGCUUUCUUUUAAAGAACUCGAUCUGCAAUAGCUACUAGGUGUUACCACAAAUAUUCUAACUUCAGUAAACGUUGCAUGGGUGUGCAGCUUUUAAUCUCUUCGUUAAUACUGUCACGUUUAGUUUUUUAAAGGACGAUAACCAUGAAUGUAUAUUUCUGUGAUGUUUUAUAGAAAUCGAAUAAAGCUGUGACUUGAAUAAUAAGAACCGUGGCAGUUUAGCAAUGAUUUGAAGGUGUUUGGGAAUUUUGGAAAAACCGACAUGAACAAGCAUUUUAUCACAAUAUUUAUAUUUUGUUAAGGGGAACUUCUUUAAUCUCAAUUUUUCUGUGAAACGAUG